This 468-nucleotide ribosomal RNA is filed under the name uncultured bacterium. Its description in RNAcentral is "partial 16S ribosomal RNA". It matches the Rfam family "Bacterial small subunit ribosomal RNA", at positions 28 to 507 of the family's 1533-position model. The record is from RNAcentral.
GACGAACGCUGGCGGCGUGCUUAACACAUGCAAGUCGAACGGAAAGGCCCUGCUUUUGUGGGGUGCUCGAGUGGCGAACGGGUGAGUAACACGUGAGUAACCUGCCCUUGACUUUGGGAUAACUUCAGGAAACUGGGGUUAAUACCGUAUAGGUGCUCCUGCUGCAUGGUGGGGGUUGGAAAGUUUCGGCGGUUGGGGAUGGACUCGCGGCUUAUCAGCUUGUUGGUGGGGUAGUGGAUUACGAAGGCUUUGACGGGUAGCCGGCCUGAGAGGGUGACCGGCCACAUUGGGACUGAGAUACGGCCCAGACUCCUACGGGAGGCAGCAGUGGGGAAUAUUGCACAAUGGGCGGAAGCCUGAUGCAGCAACGCCGCGUGCGGGAUGACGGCCUUCGAGUUGUAAACCGCUUUCGCCUGUGACGAAGCGUGAGUGACGGUAAUGGGUAAAGAAGCACCGGCUAACUACGUG